UCUCUAUCAAUAAUCUCUUUAGGUCACGAUUCAAAUUUCAGUAUUCUAUUUGUCUAAACAUUAGUAGGUCAUCUUUACUCAAUAUUUAUAUUAAUUAAAAGAUAAUUAGAUUAGGUAUAAAUUAGCUCCAAAAAUCAGUGUCAUUAGAUAUUGUAGCUUACAAAAAUAACAUGAUUAUUUCUUUGAAAAAAGAUAAGCUUAAUGAAAGGUCCAUUAGGCUAAAAAGAUUUUUCUCUUCAUUGGGCACUAGCUAGGAAGAGUCCAAACUCCACUUUAUUUCUUUUGUUUGGUUUGGGUCUAAGUUCAUAGUAUUAAUUAAUGAAAGCAAUACUAUAUGAAAGUGAUCAUACAUUGUCUCUAAUUUCAUUAACAAUAACAUUUAACACGUAGACCCCAACAAGUAACAAGUGGACUACACUAUGAUUUUCAUUUGCUUUAAUAUAGGUACAAUUACAUGUUUUAUUUUUUAUUUAUUUCAUUAGGACAGACAUCUUCAUUACUAUAUUUUUUUUGAUAUAUGACUUUUGAAAUAUUUUACUUGAAUUAAAGUUUUAUCAAAAAUAUUUUUUAUUGUUUUCACAAAAUAAGAAUAAAAUCUGUAUUAAUAGAUCCAUAGGAUUGAUCUACUGAAUGUUACUCAUUAUUUCUAUAGGACAGAGGACUUUUGAGGUCACAAUUCUGCAAUUUGGGAUUAUUAGUUUUCCAUGUGUUAAUAUUAGUCCAUAAAUUUUGCAAAUAUGACCGUUUUGCCCCAAGUUUUAUGGGUCAAUUUGAAAUGACCCCGUGAAUGAUACUCAUUGACUUUUUAGGCAUAACAUGGUGUUUUUGGAGUUUUGUGGUCACACACAAAAAAAAACGAAAUUCAGGAUUAUCUUAGUUUUAUCAUGUCUAUUAGAAUUUUAGGAAAUAUAAUUGACGCUUUCGCUUGAUCCCAAAUUUUGUGGUACGGCGAAUCAGGAUAUAUAUAAAUUUAGUUAAUCAGGAAAAGUAUAUUUUUAAGACUAUCAAUAAUUUAAAAAUGAAAUUAAUAAUUUACGACUCAAUGAUUCUUGUUAUUUUACACUAUUUUUCAUUUUUACUACCCCCAAUCCCUCACCCCCACCAGCUACCAAGAGGCUUUUUCUGUUUAGCAAUUUUGUUGACUUUACAACAUACAUGGCAUCAGCCAGCACCAGACACCAGGAUAUCAAACCAUGAACGAAGAAAGGCAUGAGAGAAAAGCAUAUUGGCUAGAGAAUGUGGCGGAGCUCAUUGCAUCUACAACUCUCAACAUGUAUCCGCAGGUAUCUGCUGUUCGUGUUCAAGUUGGAAAGCCUCAUGUGGCUGUUCAAGGACCUGUUGACUACUUAGGCGUCGAGAUCAACAGACACAGAGAUUUUGAUGUGUAAAGCCAAGACAUGUUGCUUGUAUGAGUUUUUGUUAUUCGAAAUCAUGUUGUUCACUUACUUAUUUUGAUUGCAAAGCUAGUUUUUUCUCUUCAUCUGUAGAGUGUUUAGAAUCUUCUCCAUAUGCAUUUUUUGAGAGCAUGAUUGAGAAAGAAAAGAAAGAAAAACAACAAAAAAGUUGAUUCUUUUAUAUAUUGUAGGUUGUAACCCAA
Molecule: non-coding RNA, 1597 nt
Organism: Solanum lycopersicum (tomato)
Lineage: Eukaryota; Viridiplantae; Streptophyta; Magnoliopsida; Solanales; Solanaceae
Source: RefSeq, a predicted model, not a curated record